GCUUCUUUGUGGUUUCAGAGAGCCUCCUCCUCUUCUUCAUCCAUUCUUUCUCGUUUUCUCGCCUAACGUAUCAAAACAGGAUCUCUCUCUCUCUCAUCCCUUAAGAUCUAUUUUGAUCCACUUUCAUUCCCUCUCUCUUGCUCGUGGUGAUCUCCCUCUCGCCAACUCUUGAACACACACUAUUGGAUUAAGAGACAAAAAUGGCAGAAGAGAUCAAGGAACGUUUACAACCAACAACAAAGGAGAAGAAGAAACAACAACAAGAACAACACAAAAACGUGAAAGGGAAGAGACUAUGGCAGAAAGUCAAGUACCAACUCGUGGAGUACCACGCUUUGCCUGCUUACCUCAGAGACAACGAGUACAUCCUUGGCCACUACCGUUCCGAAUGGCCCCUCAAACACAUCCUCCUCAGCAUCUUCUCCAUCCACAACGAGACCUUGAAUGUCUGGACGCACUUGAUUGGUUUUUUCCUGUUUCUAGCACUUACUAUAUACACAGCUACCAAAGUCCCAAGCGUUGUGGAUCUUCAGCACCGUUUACCUCAUCUCCUCAGGAAAACUGAUCUUCACAAACUUCACUCUGACCUCAUGUCUCGCCUUCCUUCUUCUCCUUCUAAGUGGCAUCUCAUGGAGCUUCUCUAUAACUGUCUCCCUGACAGAUUCUCUCUUGCCAACUCCACCGACAUGUGUGUUCUGCAUUCAGUGAAGGAAGAUGUUGCAAACAUGAUAGCUCCUUUGAUCCUCAGGCCAAUCACUCGAUGGCCCUUCUACGCAUUCCUAGGCGGGGCUAUGUUCUGUCUAUUAGCAAGCAGCACCUGCCACCUCCUCUCCUGUCACUCAGAGCGAGUCUCUUACAUAAUGCUUAGGCUUGACUACGCUGGGAUCGCAGCUCUCAUCUCCACUUCCUUCUACCCUCCCGUCUACUACUCUUUCAUGUGUGAUCCUUUCUUCUGCAACCUCUACUUAGGAUUCAUUACAAUCCUGGGAAUCUCCACGGUCCUCGUCUCCCUCCUACCCGUCUUCCAGAGCCCUGAGUUUCGUGUAGUGAGGGCCUCUCUCUUCUUUGGAAUGGGGUUCUCCGGAGCGGCACCGAUACUACAUAAGCUGAUCAUCUUUUGGGACCAGCCCGAGGCGCUUCACACGACGGGGUAUGAGGUUUUGAUGGGUUUGCUUUACGGGUUAGGAGCUUUGGUUUAUGCGACUAGGAUCCCUGAGAGAUGGAUGCCUGGUAAGUUUUGAUAUAGCUGGACAUAGCCAUCAGUUGUUUCAUGUUUUGGUGGUUGCCGGUGCCUUCACACAUUAUAGAGCAGGGCUUGUGUAUCUCAAGUGGAGAGACAUUGAAGGAUGUUGAAAGUAUUUGAUGGAAUCUUCUAAUGUUUUUAAUCAAACGAAAAAAAAUUGGAUUGUGUAAAGUGUCUUGAUGUGUAAGAAAAUGUUAUUAGUUUUUCCA
RNA transcript from Raphanus sativus (radish), 1452 nucleotides. It is a transcript of the gene named heptahelical transmembrane protein 4-like, with no coding region annotated. The record is from RefSeq and is a predicted model, not a curated record. NCBI's taxonomy places the organism in Eukaryota, Viridiplantae, Streptophyta, Magnoliopsida, Brassicales, Brassicaceae. The transcript has 4 exons.